GGGCGGUCUGGUAGUGCUCGCCCGGUAUGCUUGUGUUGUUGUUAUCUUCUACUUGUGUAUGUCUUAACAAACACAAAGAAAACCUUGACCGAAGGUCGCAUGACUUCAAGAAAAGAGAUUUCGAAUUCGAAAGAUCAUUCAAGCAGCCUCUAGGCUUGAAGGAAGGCCGGCAAUCUACCGAAGAGAGGGUAUGGAUCAAAAGGAUGAAGCGUUACCUUUAUGGAUUUUUGCAUUUUGGGGUGCCAGGCUUGAAGGAAGGCCGGCAAUCUACCGAAGAGAGGGUAUGGAUCAAAAGGAUGAAGCGUUACCUUUAUGGAUUUUUGCAUUUUGGGGUGCCUCCUGGUGUUCGGAUGCCACUUUAAUUGGAUUGCAUUUUUGUAUUUUUGCAUUUUGUGGAUCUCUGACUGGUUGUUGCCCUGCUACUUCAAUUGGAUUGUAUUUUCUGUUCCUCAAUCAUAAAAAGAAACAGAAAUCUGUAUAUUUAGCUGCACAGCAAAAAUUGUAAGGAUACAUGAUUAUCGGCACAGAUUAAUUAAGAAUGAUUUCCAUCUCUAGGAUCUGUGAUCUUAGAAGUCGAGGUCAUCUCAGACUUGCAAGAAUGUUUCGCCUGUCUUGCUAUUCUGACCCGUGACCCGGAAGGCGAACGUGAAGGGACUAACCUGAAUAACACUGUUUCG
This 677-nucleotide long non-coding RNA is filed under the name Elaeis guineensis (African oil palm). Its description in RNAcentral is "long non-coding RNA (EGUI_LNC011114)". Lineage: Eukaryota; Viridiplantae; Streptophyta; Magnoliopsida; Arecales; Arecaceae. The record is from RNAcentral.